GACGAACGCUGGCGGCGUGCCUAAUACAUGCAAGUAGAACGCACAGUUUAUACCGUAGCUUGCUACACCAUAGACUGUGAGUUGCGAACGGGUGAGUAACGCGUAGGUAACCUGCCUGGUAGCGGGGGAUAACUAUUGGAAACGAUAGCUAAUACCGCAUAAUAUUUAUUAUUGCAUGAUAAUUGAUUGAAGGAUGCUAUUGCAUCACUACCAGAUGGACCUGCGUUGUAUUAGCUAGUAGGUGAGGUAACGGCUCACCUAGGCGACGAUACAUAGCCGACCUGAGAGGGUGAUCGGCCACACUGGGACUGAGACACGGCCCAGACGGCUACGGGAGGCAGCAGUAGGGAAUCGUCGGCAAUGGACGAAAGUCUGACCGAGCAACGCCGCGUGAGUGAAGAAGGUUUUCGGAUCGUAAAGCUCUGUUGUAAGAGAAGAACGGGUGUGAGAGUGGAAAGUUCACACUGUGACGGUAUCUUACCAGAAAGGGACGGCUAACUACGUG
This 505-nucleotide ribosomal RNA is filed under the name uncultured bacterium. RNAcentral describes it as "partial 16S ribosomal RNA". It matches the Rfam family "Bacterial small subunit ribosomal RNA", at positions 28 to 507 of the family's 1533-position model. The record is from RNAcentral.